This is a long non-coding RNA of Liolophura sinensis, 759 nucleotides long. RefSeq lists it as uncharacterized. The record is from RefSeq and is a predicted model, not a curated record. Lineage: Eukaryota; Metazoa; Mollusca; Polyplacophora; Chitonida; Chitonidae. The transcript is spliced from 4 exons.
CAAUUCAUAGCAUUCCUCCCAAGAACAAGGAUGUGUUAAAUAAAAUGGAACUACAUGAUCAAAAUGCUGAUUUCUGCUGGUUUCUAAAGUUUCAAGUUCUACAGGACAAGGAAACCAUCACAUUGAAGAAACCGACGCUCAGGGUAUGACAUAAGCUACGCCUGUACUUUCUAAAGGUGAGCUAACAGUGUGUGAAAUCCUGGCUACAAAUACAGAUUUGGUGACCAGACAGUAACUGCGUUCUACCCAUAAGAAUACAGCCCCAACUACGUGUACCAAAUGACGUAAAAUUUUGUUGCAUUUUGACCGAUUCUGAAAGAUCUGACGAUCUUUGAAGGAUGUUUUGACGUUUAUUUGGAAGAGGUGAUUGAAAAGGUGAAAGAAUUAGGGUAAAUACACUUUUUGGAGUGAAAUUUUAUAUCACAUGCCGAACCCAGCUGUACCAAUGGACAGCGUCCCAGUCUGACUUACCUGGUGAGGCCAAGGGAAGACAGAAUCAAUACCAUCAGCAGCAGGAAUAUACCGUGCCCUUCCCCUGCUGUACCACUGGACAGCGUGCCAGUCUGACUUACCUGGUGAGGCCAAGGGAAGGCAGAAUCAAUACCAUCAGCAGCAGGAAUAUACCGUACCCUUCCCUAGCUGUACCACUGGACAGCGUGCCAGUCUGACUUACCUGGUGAGGUCAAAGGAAGGCAGAAUCAAUACCAUCAGCAGCAGGAAUAUACCGUACCCUUCCCUAGCUGUACCAAUGGACAGCGU